AACGUAGGAGACAAACGUUAUCCGGAGUUACUGGGCGUAAAGGGCGUGCAGGCGGUUGAUUAAGUCUAGCGUGAAAGCUCCCGGCUAAACCGGGAGAGGUCGUUGGAUACUGGUUGACUAGAGGACGGUAGAGGCGAGUGGAAUUCCGGGUGUAGUGGUGAAAUGCGUAGAGAUCCGGAGGAACACCAGUGGCGAAGGCGACUCGCUGGGCCGUACCUGACGCUAAGACGCGACAGCAUGGGGAGCGAACGGG
RNAcentral lists this ribosomal RNA (253 nucleotides) under uncultured bacterium. Its description in RNAcentral is "partial 16S ribosomal RNA". It matches the Rfam family "Bacterial small subunit ribosomal RNA", at positions 524 to 776 of the family's 1533-position model. RNAcentral also lists the same sequence under 1 other name. The record is from RNAcentral.